GACCACCCUACUCCAGGACCGCACCAAACAAACUUCAGCCACCAUUUCUUUCUUACAAUCCGAAUCAGUACUAAAAAGCCAAGUAUACCACACUCUAGAUCUAGAAAGAACUGGAUAGGAUGGAAGUGGAGGAAAAGCUUUUGGGGGUCGGUGGAUUGGUAACUGCUACAGCUAUAUAUUAAACCUUGGAGGCAAUACUCAUAGCACAGAUUGGCUGUUACCAAACCCCCCCGAGCCCAAUGGUCUCUUCCUGUGGUUUCUCCAGUUCCCUUCAUGCCCUUCACAUAUGUUCAAUGGUCGAAAGAUAGGACGAAGAGGGAAAGGCAGAUGGAUCUCUGCAAGAAAUUGCUGGCGUGGGGGUCUUGGAAAGGAUACGCUUGAAAAAACCGUUUUCUUGAAUUAACUUUUUUUUGCCUUGGGCAAAAAAAAAGCGUUAAAGAAAUUUUGAAGGUUGGAGAUGAUAUCCUUUCCCAGGCCUCCCAUGCCGGUGAUUUCUUGGGUUCCCUCCCUUUCCCAAACUUGUUCUUUUAGAUCUCAGGUUGCUCUGCAUAUAUUCUGCAAUGAUUACAUGUUACUUGAGUUCUUCUUCAGGGACCAGUAAAUCAAAGGAUAUGCUUGAUUGGCUGUUAGAUGAUUUCAGUUCAUUCAUUGAGUUGGUGAACUUCAAAGCUUCGAAAUUGUGUUUUUCAUUUUAGUUGUGUUAUUCGUCUGGCAAAAAAGUUGUUUGAGCUUUGAAUUUUUCCAAGGCAAAGAGUGAUAUAUAUUCCUCUAGUACCACGUGAGGUUUAUAGAGUAGAGGUAAAAGAAGAAAUCCCAUGUGAUGUGAUGGAGUAAACAAAAAUUUCUUCCGGUUUGUAAUGAAAUCAACCAAAAACACUCUUCCACAGCA
Molecule: long non-coding RNA, 889 nt
Organism: Coffea eugenioides
Lineage: Eukaryota; Viridiplantae; Streptophyta; Magnoliopsida; Gentianales; Rubiaceae
Exons: 2
Source: RefSeq, a predicted model, not a curated record